UACGUAGGGGGCAAGCGUUGUCCGGAUUUAUUGGGCGUAAAGAGCGUGUAGGCGGCUAGGUAGGUCCGUUGUGAAAACUCGAGGCUCAACCUCGAGACGUCGAUGGAAACCAUCUAGCUAGAGUCCGGAAGAGGAGAGUGGAAUUCCUGGUGUAGCGGUGAAAUGCGCAGAUAUCAGGAAGAACACCCGUGGCGAAGGCGGCUCUCUGGGACGGUACUGACGCUGAGACGCGAAAGCGUGGGGAGCGAACAGG
This 253-nucleotide ribosomal RNA is filed under the name uncultured bacterium. RNAcentral's name for it is "partial 16S ribosomal RNA". It matches the Rfam family "Bacterial small subunit ribosomal RNA", at positions 524 to 776 of the family's 1533-position model. The record is from RNAcentral.